RNAcentral lists this transfer RNA (74 nucleotides) under Firmicutes bacterium CAG:822. It matches the Rfam family "tRNA". From Rfam's summary of the family: Transfer RNA (tRNA) molecules are approximately 80 nucleotides in length. Lineage: Bacteria; Bacillati; Bacillota. The record is from Rfam by way of RNAcentral.
GGGGAAUUAGCUCAGUUGGCUAGAGCACCUGCUUUGCACGCAGGGGGUCAGGAGUUCGAGUCUCCUAUUCUCCA